Molecule: ribosomal RNA, 469 nt
Filed under: uncultured bacterium
Lineage: Bacteria
Description: bacterial SSU rRNA
Rfam family: Bacterial small subunit ribosomal RNA
Source: RNAcentral
GAUGAACGCUAGCUACAGGCUUAACACAUGCAAGUCGAGGGGUAGCACGGAGGAAGCUUGCUUCCUUGGGUGACGACCGGCGCACGGGUGAGUAACGCGUAUCCGACCUACCCAUAACUCGGGCACAGCCGCUCGAAAGAGUGAUUGAUUCCCGAUAUGUCAUUGGAGUAGAUUCAAUGAUGAAAGAUUCAUCGGUUAUGGAUGGGGAUGCGUAAGAUUAGGUAGUAGGCGGGGUAACGGCCCACCUAGCCGACGAUCUUUAGGGGUUCUGAGAGGAAGGUCCCCCACACUGGUACUGAGACACGGACCAGACUCCUACGGGAGGCAGCAGUGAGGAAUAUUGGGCAAUGGGGGAAACCCUGACCCAGCAACGCCGCGUGAAGGAAGAAGGCUUUCGGGUUGUAAACUUCUUUUAGUAGGGACGAAGAAAGUGACGGUACCUACAGAAAAAGCAACGGCUAACUACGUG